CCCGCAACGAGCGCAACCCUUGUCUUUAGUUGCCAUCAUUAAGUUGGGCACUCUAGAGAGACUGCCAGGGAUAACCUGGAGGAAGGUGGGGAUGACGUCAAAUCAUCAUGCCCCUUAUGCUUAGGGCUACACACGUGCUACAAUGGGUAGUACAGAGGGUUGCAAAGCCGUAAGGUGGAGCUAAUCCCUUAAAGCUACUCUCAGUUCGGAUUGUAGGCUGAAACUCGCCUACAUGAAGCUGGAGUUACUAGUAAUCGCAGAUCAGA
This 266-nucleotide ribosomal RNA is filed under the name Clostridioides difficile. Its description in RNAcentral is "partial 16S ribosomal RNA". It matches the Rfam family "Bacterial small subunit ribosomal RNA", at positions 1086 to 1353 of the family's 1533-position model. Lineage: Bacteria; Bacillati; Bacillota; Clostridia; Peptostreptococcales; Peptostreptococcaceae. The record is from RNAcentral.